RNAcentral lists this ribosomal RNA (253 nucleotides) under uncultured bacterium. Its description in RNAcentral is "partial 16S ribosomal RNA". It matches the Rfam family "Bacterial small subunit ribosomal RNA", at positions 524 to 776 of the family's 1533-position model. The record is from RNAcentral.
UACGAAGGGGGCUAGCGUUGUUCGGAUUUACUGGGCGUAAAGCGCACGUAGGCGGAUCGAUCAGUCAGGGGUGAAAUCCCAGAGCUCAACUCUGGAACUGCCUUUGAUACUGUCGAUCUGGAGUAUGGAAGAGGUGAGUGGAAUUCCGAGCGUAGAGGUGAAAUUCGUAGAUAUUCGGAGGAACACCAGUGGCGAAGGCGGCUCACUGGUCCAUUACUGACGCUGAGGUGCGAAAGCGUGGGGAGCGAACAGG